Molecule: ribosomal RNA, 522 nt
Filed under: uncultured bacterium
Lineage: Bacteria
Description: bacterial SSU rRNA
Rfam family: Bacterial small subunit ribosomal RNA
Source: RNAcentral
AGAGUUUGAUCCUGGCUCAGAUUGAACGCUGGCGGCAGGCCUAACACAUGCAAGUCGAGCGGUAGCACAGAGAGCUUGCUCUCGGGUGACGAGCGGCGGACGGGUGAGUAAUGUCUGGGAAACUGCCUGAUGGAGGGGGAUAACUACUGGAAACGGUAGCUAAUACCGCAUAACGUCGCAAGACCAAAGUGGGGGACCUUCGGGCCUCAUGCCAUCAGAUGUGCCCAGAUGGGAUUAGCUAGUAGGUGGGGUAACGGCUCACCUAGGCGACGAUCCCUAGCUGGUCUGAGAGGAUGACCAGCCACACUGGAACUGAGACACGGUCCAGACUCCUACGGGAGGCAGCAGUGGGGAAUAUUGCACAAUGGGCGCAAGCAUGAUGCAGCCAUGCCGCGUGUGUGAAGAAGGCCUUCGGGUUGUAAAGCACUUUCAGCGGGGAGGAAGGCGGUGAGGUUAAUAACCUCAUCGAUUGACGUUACCCGCAGAAGAAGCACCGGCUAACUCCGUGCCAGCAGCCGCGGU